This 402-nucleotide ribosomal RNA is filed under the name uncultured Rhizomicrobium sp. RNAcentral describes it as "bacterial SSU rRNA". It matches the Rfam family "Bacterial small subunit ribosomal RNA", at positions 353 to 772 of the family's 1533-position model. Lineage: Bacteria; Pseudomonadati; Pseudomonadota; Alphaproteobacteria; Micropepsales; Micropepsaceae. The record is from RNAcentral.
AGUUGGGAAUCUUGGACAAUGGGGGAAACCCUGAUCCAGCCAUGCCGCGUGAGUGAUGAAGGCCUUAGGGUUGUAAAGCUCUUUCGCACGCGACGAUAAUGACGGUAGCGUGAGAAGAAGCCCCGGCUAACUUCGUGCCAGCAGCCGCGGUAAUACGAAGGGGGCUAGCGUUGUUCGGAAUUACUGGGCGUAAAGCGCGCGCAGGCGGGUCAUCAAGUCAGAGGUGAAAGCCCGGAGCUUAACUCCGGAAUAGCCUUUGAAACUGUUGAUCUUGAGUACGGGAGAGGUGAGUGGAAUUCCCAGUGUAGAGGUGAAAUUCGUAGAUAUUGGGAAGAACACCAGUGGCGAAGGCGGCUCACUGGCCCGUUACUGACGCUCAGGCGCGAUAGCGUGGGGAUCAAA